GCUUGUCUCAAAGAUUAAGCCAUGCAUGUCUUAGUGUAAAUAACUCUUAUGAAACUGCGAAUGGCUCAUUAAAUCAGUUAUCAAAUACGUGAUGGUCGCCUACUACAUGGAUAACCGUAGUAAUUCUAGAGCUAAUACAUGCACAAAGGCCCACUCACGUGGGUUGUGAUUAUUAGAUUCAAACCGGCCUCGUUCUGGUGAUUCAUAAUAAUUGGUCGAACCGCAUGCCCUUGUGGUGGCGGUGAUUCAUCCUUAUUUCUGCCCUAUCAACUUUCGAUGGUAAGGUAUUGGCUUACCAUGGUUACAACGGGUAACGGGGAAUUAGGGUUCGAUUCCGGAGAGGGGGCCUGAGAAAUGGCCACCACUUCCAAGGAAGGCAGCAGG
Molecule: ribosomal RNA, 384 nt
Filed under: uncultured Cryptomonas
Lineage: Eukaryota; Cryptophyceae; Cryptomonadales; Cryptomonadaceae
Description: partial small subunit ribosomal RNA
Rfam family: Eukaryotic small subunit ribosomal RNA
Source: RNAcentral